RNAcentral lists this ribosomal RNA (377 nucleotides) under uncultured bacterium. Its description in RNAcentral is "bacterial SSU rRNA". It matches the Rfam family "Bacterial small subunit ribosomal RNA", at positions 523 to 898 of the family's 1533-position model. The record is from RNAcentral.
AUACAGAGGGUGCAAGCGUUGUUCGGAAUUAUUGGGCGUAAAGCGCAUGUAGGCGGUGACGUAUGUCGGGUGUGAAAGCCCUCGGCUCAACCGAGGAAGUGCGCUCGAAACUGCGUCGCUAGAGUGUCGGAGAAGGUGGCGGAAUUCCCGGUGUAGAGGUGAAAUUCGUAGAUAUCGGGAGGAACACCAGUGGCGAAGGCGGCCACCUGGACGAACACUGACGCUGAGAUGCGAAAGCGUGGGUAGCAAACAGGAUUAGAUACCCUGGUAGUCCACGCCGUAAACGAUGAGAACUAGGUGUGGCGGGAGUUGACCCCUGCCGUGCCGAAGCUAACGCAUUAAGUUCUCCGCCUGGGAAGUACGGCCGCAAGGCUAAA